This 561-nucleotide long non-coding RNA is filed under the name Selaginella moellendorffii. Its description in RNAcentral is "long non-coding RNA (SMOE_LNC000260)". Lineage: Eukaryota; Viridiplantae; Streptophyta; Lycopodiopsida; Selaginellales; Selaginellaceae. The record is from RNAcentral.
GGUGGGGGUGGUGGAGGUGUUCUAGGUGGUGGUGGGGGUGGUCUUCUAGGGGGUGGUGGUGGUGGUUUUCUAGGUGGUGGUGGCAGAAUUUUUGGUGGUGGUGGUGGUGGAGGUGGAGAACUUGGUGGUGGUGGAGGUGAACAAGCAUUUGGAGUAAAAUAAUAGGGUCCACAAGUGAACUUAUUAUUUCCAUUAUUGGUGCAUGUGCUUAAUGAUUGGCCACUUGAUCCACCAUUUAUGUCUGUUAAGAAAGAACACCCCCGGGGUGCUCUACUCGUAUCCACACUCACUCGACAACUCCCAAUAUCUGUUCCAGUCUUCACUAAUUCAAAGAUAUCAAAGUAUCCUCUACUAUUUGUAAAUGAUGAAUGACUGUCUCCUGGACAAACCAGGUUUACCUUGGCAUCUGAAAGAUUUAACAAGAUUAGAAAAUUACAAAAGAUAGAUAAUUUUUCUUACUGAAGAUGCCAUUCUGAGAGAGUGAACCACAGUUAGUGCAAUAAACAUAGCCAUCCACUUUGAUACUUGUAGUGGCAGCACAAAAAUUCUCAUUUUUCAGAA